Long non-coding RNA from Hyla sarda, 519 nucleotides. RefSeq lists it as uncharacterized. The transcript is spliced from 3 exons. The record is from RefSeq and is a predicted model, not a curated record. Lineage: Eukaryota; Metazoa; Chordata; Amphibia; Anura; Hylidae.
GAUCUCCUGGGGCUUCGCUCUGUACUGUGAGUAGUGAUCACACUGAGGCUCCGUGCAUCACAGGAAAUCACAGAAACAGGGCACGUCAGAUCCGGGACGGUUGGGAGUGAGGGGCCGAUGCUGGACACUGUAGGCACGCGGGAAUGUGAAGUUGAAUACAUCACUGUGAUUGAUGCACUAUUUCCAGGAUGUGGAGUAGCAUUUCCGGACUAUAAAGACGUUGUAAUAAGGCACAUAUUUCCGGACUUACAGCAAGAAGUUGGAUGAAGGCAUAAACCCUCGAAUCACGCACAUACACAGUCACUUUGCCCAAAUUCUAGAGGUAACCUCCUUUAGUAUGCCCAGAGGAAGGGCAAUACAGUAGCCAUGGAUUCCCUACAGGUUUCCUCCCCUCUGGAGGUUUUUCCUGUCCUGAGUUAGUUACUGUACGCUCUUUGUGAGUGAUGGAAGGUUACAAAAAUCCCUACACAAACAUUUUAAUAAAUAAUAAAGUUCCCCUGUUUUUAAAACGUUCUUUGA